RNAcentral lists this unclassified non-coding RNA (292 nucleotides) under uncultured Setophoma. Its description in RNAcentral is "partial contains 5.8S ribosomal RNA, internal transcribed spacer 2, and large subunit ribosomal RNA". The stretch from base 1 to 102 matches the Rfam family "5.8S ribosomal RNA", at positions 53 to 154 of the family's 154-position model. The record is from RNAcentral. Lineage: Eukaryota; Fungi; Ascomycota; Dothideomycetes; Pleosporales; Phaeosphaeriaceae.
AUGCGAUAAGUAGUGUGAAUUGCAGAAUUCAGUGAAUCAUCGAAUCUUUGAACGCACAUUGCGCCCCUUGGUAUUCCAUGGGGCAUGCCUGUUCGAGCGUCAUUUGUACCCUCAAGCUUUGCUUGGUGUUGGGCGUCUUGUCGUAUUACGACUCGCCUUAAAUUCAUUGGCAGCCGGCACUUUGGCCUAGGAGCGCAGCACAUUUUGCGAUCGUAGCCCGUUGUACUGGCGUCCAUCAAGAACAUUUACCACGUUUGACCUCGGAUCAGGUAGGGAUACCCGCUGAACUUAA